GACGAACGCUGGCGGCGUGCUUAACACAUGCAAGUCGAACGAAGUGGCGAACGGGUGAGUAACGCGUAAUCAACCUGCCCUUCAGAGGGGGACAACAGUUGGAAACGACUGCUAAUACCGCAUACUGAAGGAGGGGAUUGCGUCUGAUUAGCUAGUUGGAGAGGUAACGGCUCACCAAGGCGAUGAUGGGUAGCCGGCCUGAGAGUGAUCGGCCACAAGGGGACUGAGACACGGCCCUUACUCCUACGGGAGGCAGCAGUGGGGAAUAUUGGACAAUGGACCAAAGUCUGAUCCAGCAAUUCUGUGUGCACGAUGAAGUUUUUCGGAAUGUAAAGUGCUUUCAGUUGGGAAGCGGUACCAACAGAAGAAGUGACGGCUAAAUACGUGCCAGCAGCCGCGGUAAUUC
This 406-nucleotide ribosomal RNA is filed under the name uncultured bacterium. Its description in RNAcentral is "partial 16S ribosomal RNA". It matches the Rfam family "Bacterial small subunit ribosomal RNA", at positions 28 to 526 of the family's 1533-position model. The record is from RNAcentral.